RNAcentral lists this long non-coding RNA (37944 nucleotides) under Gossypium barbadense (sea-island cotton). RNAcentral describes it as "long non-coding RNA (GBAR_LNC008951)". The record is from RNAcentral. Lineage: Eukaryota; Viridiplantae; Streptophyta; Magnoliopsida; Malvales; Malvaceae.
CUUGGCUAAGGAGGGGUUUAAAGAUGGGAGUGAAACUAGUCUGGGAGGGGAUUCCAUAAAAAUAGCGGUUCUGGUCAUUGUGGAGGAAUGGACUAUGGAGACAGGGGAAAGCACGGGGGUUCAGUCUUCUAUCCAUGAAACCUGACGAAAGAUUGGAAAAUGUGGCGAACGCUGAUCUGAAAAUAAAGAAAAUGAGAUUGUAAAAGACCAGGAAAUGAAUCCAAUAAAGAGGAUGGAUACCUCAGAUUCACUGGAUACUGUUUCUAGGAUCUGAAAUUAUAAGUUCAAAUACUUAUCUGAAGGGGUAUUCUCAGUUGAUAUCAUACAGAAGAUUUGGGCAUCCUCCGGAGCACUGAAAUGACGAUCUAUUUGCAGAGAAGACAUGGAGGUACCAAAACGAAGUUUCUAGUUGUAGGUGCUUUAGGAUUAGGUUUCUUUUGGUUUUUGCCAUGUUUCUUUGGAAGUUGGGCUUAGGGUUUCUGUGCUUUUGUUUGUUUUUUCCUUUGGACUUGGGGUUGGGCCUUGUUUUGGUGGUCUUUUCUUUUCUUCUGUGUUUUUUCAUUUUUUUUAAUAAAAGCUGCAGGCCAGGUUAAUUAAAAAAAGAAGUGAUAAGAAAAAAAUUUAUCUAACAACUUUCAUUGUGGGUUAUCAAAUCUGUUUAAAAAAUUAAGUGGCUCAAAAUCUUUUCAAUUGAUUGAAUUUUUUCAACAUUCUAUCAAACAGAGCGUAAAUUAAAUCCUAAAAUUUUAAAACUAAACAUUAUUAUUAUUUUUAACAAUUCAACGCUCAUCAACGAAUUUCCUUCUUUGUUAUCUGGUUUAAUAUAUUGUUUGGUACUCAAGUUUGAUUUUUUUUCUAAUGUAGUAUAUGUGUUAUUUUUUGAUCUAAUCUAUUACUUAUAUUUGACAAAAAAAAUAUUUUUGUACCCAAAUGUAACAAUGUUAACUUUUUACUGUUCAAUUCAAAUUUUAGAAUUGAUUUAAUGAAAGUUAACUGCUAAUAUUAUUAUAUUUGAUUUUUUCAUUACUUUGUUAAUAGAAUAAAUUUAAUGUUAAUUUUAAUUUUUUUUUAAUUUUGCGUUUAAUUUAUCAAAUAUAGUCUGAUAGAUGUGAUUUAAUCUGAGUUUUAAUGUUGAUUUUGUUGAGGCAAAUUUUUAGUGAUGCCAAGGAGCAAGGGCCCACUGGUUCCUAGCACGACUUAGCUCAAAAACUUGCCAUGUUUAGUGUAGGCAAAUUUAUUGUUAAUUAUGAAUUUGGAUGACUGCAAGCUCAUGUAUGAUAUCCAAACUGUUUAUAGCAACAUAUACAACGAAGCUUGUGAAAGCUUAGUAAGUAUAAUGAGAAUUAAACUUACGUUUUAUUAAUUAAAUGAAAACAUAGUACAAUAGAAUUGUAAUAAAUAAGUAUUGAACAUAUUAGUAUUAGUAACUCCAUAUUUUGACUAAUAGUAUAAUUCCUUUCAUUAUCAUUCAAUCACUAGCACAUAAUCUUGUCAUAUUAUAGCUUUAUUUUUUGUCUUUUAUUAUUCAAUGGAGGCCUAAUGUAGGCUUAAUAAAACACAGGAUAUACAAAAAUAGUACAGGGAUGCACCGAAGUGCAAAGUAGAACUAGAGUGCCAGGUCAGAACAAAAUAGUAGCGAAGUGCGAUGUCAAAAUAGAGAACGCACUAAAUGCUUCCUAAUAACAUGUCAUCUAUAUCCUACUAGUUCAUAUCUUGUCUACAUGAGCAAAUAUAAUAGAACCAAUUUCUCAUUUACAUCUCAGAACAGGAUUUAUAUACUUUUGAAUUUAGCCCCAGUCAAUUCAAAACUCAAUAAUCAUUCUCACAACAAUUCAAAAUCAUUAUACAAGUCACUCACUAACAUACAUUACUUCCUAUAUAUAUUAAAAUAUAAUUUUUAGGGUUAAAUAUAAAAUUAUUACUCGAACUUGUCAACUUCUCCCAGUUGGUACUUAUAAUUUUUUUGUCUCAAAUUGGUACCUAAACUUUUUUCGGUCAACUAAAUCUAUACCCGAACCUAGUAUCAUUAAGUUCAGGACAAAUAGCGGAAUAAGACUAUGACACGUGGCAUAAAUGACAUCAUAUGAUAUCAUAAUCUAAAAAAAUUUAAAAAAAAAAAUUCUUUUGGACUUUUCUCCCCCAAUUUUUUUAUUUGUGCAAUUAAUUUCAUUUUCUUCUUUUUCUUUUUCCUACCUUGGUCGCAUUGCUUCUAGACCGUUGGUAGGCCACUGCCCGACCUCCUCCAAUGAGCUCUUCAACCAACGAAUACACCAAAGGACUUAGUUAACGAUGACACCAAAGCUAUCUGGUGAGCUCUCUCAAGUCUAACUCUUGCUUUCACAUUUUGGUUAAUGGGUUAGUAGCUUUAACCAAUUUUAGUGGUAGGGAUUUAGUAAAUCCCAAAAUUAUAGAAUAUUUUCUUUGGAGAUUUAGUUGGAAAUUUGUUUUGUUCUAAUCGUUGGUCUUGUUGGUUUUAAAGGUCGUCUCUUUCACCUUUUUUCUUCUUCCUUGCUUCUUUAUUCUCUCUUUUCCUUUUCUUUUUUUACUUCUUUGCGUGGUAGGUCCUUGUUAUUUUGGAUGAUGGAAUAGAUUCUCUUUUCUUUUUAGUUUGCUAAUAUUGGUUGUUGUUUGAUACUUAUUGGGUUUGAUGGAUUGGGUAUUUGGAUUUGAUUUCUGGUAAUGGGGGCAUUUACAUCAUUGGGCUGAUGUGGUGAGAAUGAUGAAACAUGUCGAUGGUGGUGGUGGUGGUUUUAGGGUGAUGGUUGAAUAAUAAUGGUGAGGUGAAGAUCAGGGGGAGUGGUAGAGCUUGGGAGCAGGCUAUGGCAAUUUUGAAGGUUUCACUUUCACUCUUGGACUUCCUUCAAGCUUCAGCCGGAAUCAUUGAUGAAGCUGCUUUAGGCAAAAACUUCAACAUCUUGUUUUCAGAUUUCGUUUGUUUCUCCAUUAUUGUAUGUAAUAAAUUAUCACUUUUUUUUCCAACUUCUUUCUAAUCUUUUGUUUCCUCAUCCCGGUUAUAGGUUCCUUUCCAUUGUUUUUCCAAAAAAUGUUACUUUUUUAUUGGCAAUUAAUUUUCCAGUAAACAAAUAGAAGUUAGAAAGUUUAUAGCUUUUUUUCGAGGCACAGUUUCUUUACUUAGUUGUAUGUAUUAUUUUAAAUAAUCAUCUAAAUUUCAAUUUCACUUGGGUUUUUGUUUUCCAUGGUAUACGUGCUUAAAUAAAAAUGAUUGAUUCCUUUAACAAUAAUGGAAUCGAAAACUUCAAAACAAAAAUUAUGGUUCAUCAUCAUCUCUUAAAUUCAAUUACAAAUUCAAAAUUAUUUCAUAUAUAAACUAAAAUAGAUAAAUUAAUAUCCACAAUAGUCUAUUAAAACACAACCAAGCAAAAAAGUAAAAGAAACCCAUAAAAACUGGGAAAGCAAAAAUUAUAGAUUUUACCCAAUUUGCCUUUGAUUUUUUCUUCUUGUUUAAAAAAAACACCAAACAUUGAAGAAAGAAGAUAAUAUCUUGAUUUCUAGAGAGAGUACCAAAAGGAUCCAUAGAGGGGAGAUAUAAAAAAUAAGAGGAGAGAAGAAGAGAGAAAAGUGAAAUUAGGAAGAAGAAAAGAAAAACUGGGAAAAAGAAGGAAAAAAGGACAAAAAAUGGAAAUAAUUUUUAAAAAUAUUUUUAUUAAUUUUUAAUAUUUUUAGAUUAUGACAUUGUUAUGAGAUCAUUUAUGCUACAUGUCACAAUCUUAUUUCGUCACUUAUCUUAAACUUAACGACGUUAGACUCGGGUUCUGAUUUAGUUACAGAAAAAAAGUUCGAGUACUAAUGUAGGACAAAAAAACCAUAAGUACUAAUUUGGGAGAAAUGGACAAAUUCGGGUACCAAUUUUAUAUUUAACCCUAAUUUUUACCUUUUAUGUCCAUUUUCCUCAUUUUCAAAAUUUGUCCAUUUUUCAUACUUUUAAUACAAAACAAUAAUAUUACCUUGUAAUUAAUAUCCAAUAAAUUUCAACAAUUCACAAACUAAUCUCAUAUUAAAUGUUAACAUAAUCAUGUAUAAAAUUAGUCACAUAAAUAUUAAUAUAAUUAAACUAACAAAAUUCAAUACUUAGAUAUUAUUUAAAUAAGUAAAUUAUUGUUGUACUUACAACCAAAGGCUUGGAAUCAAGCUUUCUUCUUCUACUCUUUAACUGGCUUGGAAUCAAGCUUUCUUCUUCUACUCUUUAACUAUUUCUUUGCCUUUGUCCCCAACUUGUUAAUUGAUUUUCUUCUCUUUUUCUUAAUUUUUUACAUUCAAACCCAAAUUUUUAUUUUCUCUCUCCUUUAAGAUAACUAUGGAUACACUUCUCAUGAAACUAAGAUAGCUAUUAGACUUCUUUAUUGAUUUCACUAAAUAUUCAUGAAAUAAAUUGUAGGAAUUAAGCUUAAAGACUUGGAAAUGGUGAAAAAAGACCUAUUUGUAAUAAAAAAAAGUUGUAAAGAUGGAGAAAAGAGAAUGAAAUGAGAAUGGGGAAAAGAUGAAUGAAAUGAGAAUGGGGAAAAGAUGAAUGAAUUUCAUCAUCUUUCUAAACUAUUCUAAAGUUUCCACCCCGAAUUUCUCUAAACUCAAAACUUUGGAACAAAUUUGGGGUUAAAUCAAAAGAGAUCGUAAAUUGGCGGUCUUUGCUAAAAAGUCAAGAAAAGUUGGGAUCGAAAUUAGACAAGGUUGAAAUCCAAUUUCGGUUCUGUUGGAUUAGAACCAGCUGAUUCCUUAGUGGGGGACAAAAUGAUUGUCAAUGGAUGGUUUCUAAACGGUUUAAGACCAUGCGGGAAGGGUUGUAUAUAGCGGGGAAAUGACUUCCCGGAAGACUUCUUCUCUAAUUUGUUUCAUUUUCUUCAUUUCUUCAUCUUCUUUCUUAGUUACUUCGUGAAAGCAAUGAUUAAAGAAAGCUCUGCAUUGAGAGAUGAUCGUAAGGUUUAAGUCGAAAAAGUGGAAAAUUCAGUAAGUUGGUAAGGUUCUUAGUCCUUCUGUAAACGUAGGGAGUAAGAGAAUGAAGAUAAAGGUUUCAAGAACCAUUUUAAGGGUUCUGUAUUUUUUUUAAAAAAUUGAGGUUUAAAGUAAAAACACCAAGUCUAACCCAUGAUUUGGUUGUCAUGUUUAACUGCCAGGAGAAUGGAAGCUCUGGCGUUUGGAAAAGCUAAGUUGAUGAGAGAAAUGAGUAUUAGGUGAGUUUCUGCACUUAACUCCUAAAAAGCUAAGUAUGUUGCAAGUUUACAUGGGUUUAUGAGUAUCUGUCAUCCUAGUUCAGUAUGCAUGAUUCCAUAUUGUUUAUUCAUAGAUACAUAUAUUGCAUAUGAAAUACGAAAAUAGGUUUUCGUCGGGAUUAGAUGAAGUUAGGAUAGGAAAAAUGAGUGAUUUUGUUAGAUAUCGCCAUACGGUGUUGCUGUAUGCACCGGUGAUGAGCAAAGCUUUGGGCCUUGAAAAGGGGACACUGUAGUGUUUUAGCAUCAAGGUUAGGAAUGGUGAAAUGGAGGAAUGGAAGGAAUGUAUUGGGAAGAGUAAACAAAAAAGAUCAUGGCUAUGUUAUAGGACCAAUCAGAUGUUAUAUAUCUAAAAUGAUUAAGACCAUAGCUGAAAGAUGCUAUGGCAUCAUGAUAAAAAUGAGUAAGAACAUAACUAAAAGACGCUAUGGCAUCAUGAUAGAAACAAGACUAAGACCAUAGCUGAAAGACACUAUGACAUCAUUUGAUAGUUUACUGGGACAAUAAACACAGGGUUAUAUCGUAUAAAACCAUAGCUGAAAGACGUUAUGACAUCGUAAAUAGUCUGAUGGGACAUUAAACACGGGAUAGUCCGAUAGGACAUCAAACAUGAGAUAGUAUGAUGGGACAGUAAAUACAGGAUAGUCUACUGGGAUAGUAAAUACAGGAUAGUUCACUAGGACAUUCAACAUGGAGUACACUUGGUAAGACCACAGUUUAACUAUGGCAACAUAGAGAGUCCCCUGAGACAAUAAAUAGGUGGAAAAAUAAUGUUACAUUGUCUUACCAAAACCCAGCCAUACUUACCCAUUGUUAAAUUAUAAAAUAACCAAUAUCCAAAACAUAGUCAUGUCAUACAGGUUUAAACAAUACGAACUAAACAUAGGUUCAACACUAAAUGUAACAACCUAAACCCAGCCUAGACAGAAAACUAAGUUUAGAAUGUUACAUUGUCUUACUAGAAUCCAGUCAUAUUUAACCAUUGUUAAAUUAUAAAACAACCAAUAUCCAAAACAUAGUCAUGUUAUACAAGUUUAAACAAUAUGAAGUAAACAUAGGUUCACACACAUUUAUAUACAUGUAAAUUCGAUAGAUGACCGAGCCCCACGUCUUCCAACCGCUUAUUCCUAAGGAUUCCUUGAAAUUCAUUCAAGCAGUUAGUGCGUUGUAUUGAAAAACUUCAACUAAACAGACAACAUAUAUACAAGUAUUUAGAUAUUAUUGAUCAUUUGGAUAAUAAUUCAUUUUUCUCAAACAGAUCAAUAUCCUAGUCGAAUCCAAACACAACAAUCUUGAAAUGUAAUCAGUUGAUACAAAUACAUGUAUAACACUAAUACAAUUAGGUGCACAUAUCAUGUAAUACAAAUAUAGGAGCAAUUUCCUAUUCCAUUCACUACACACCAUCUCCAUCCCCCCUACACAUCAAUAGGUAUAUAAUACCUAUCUAUCUACACACCUCAUAGUGUCGAUAUGACACAUUGUAGUGUUUAUAGUGUCACUGGCAGAUCAGAUAAUAUCAUGAGUGGUUGACCACCAAUUCAUUACAAAAUACUUCAUUCACACUAUACUCCCACCCUAUGUAAAUACAAAACAGAUAACAAAUAUGAACACGUAUUAUAGAUGUAAUUACAAUCACACAUACUGUUAUGACAGAAUAUAAAUAGAACCAGUUUAUAUUCACAAUAAAGUAGAUCAUAAAGCUCAACACAGUGAUACCUAUCUUAUAGCUAUUAUAUACUUGCUCCAUACUAUAAUUACAACAUUUCCAAAGUUGGCGUUUCAGUUCCACACACCCAAAUAGUGAUUCGUAUCACUCCAAAAGGCCUGGCACACGGCUGUGUGGUUGCCCAUGUGCCUAAUUUAUUAAAUCAGUGUGUCAUAUGGCCUGGGCACACGCAUGUGUACUAGCCCGUGUACCUCACACGGCUUGGCACACACUCAUGUGUCUUGCCCAUGUGACCCUUGCACAUCACUUCUCAUCCACGACCUAACAUAUGCUCGUGUGACUCACUCGUGUGGCCCUAAAUUCAAACUCAAUGAGUUACACGACCUACCUCACGGGUUCUCGCAAGACCGUGUGACCCACACGGCCUACAUACAUGCCCGUGUGGUAACCCGUGUGUCAUUGAUAGCCUCGUUUUUGAUAAAAAAAUACAGGAAAACACAAAAUUUUCGAUACCCACCUGUUACCUGACGCUGUAGAAGCACUACAAUGCAAUUUUCAAGCCUAAAACAUGUUUCGACAACCAAUUCACAACACAUUUGUAAUUAGUUAACAACAACCAAUUUUGUCUAAACCUUCAACUCACUUCGCAAAACGUAAGAAACUAACUUACCGUGAAUUCUCGGUACACACUUGAUUUCUAGGCAAAACGAGAUACGUUAGGCGUCUCCUGAGUUCCCCCUAAAGUAUCAAUACACAACAAAAACCAAAUUAACCAAAACUCAAAAAUUUAGUAGUUUUUCCCAAUCCGCACAAUGACAAAAUAACGACAGUGAACCGAUUUACCUUAAGACACAUUGGAGCAAACAAUAUCGUGACUCAAUGAAGCAUUUACAUAGGAUAUACGAAACCAAGCAAUGAUUUUGGAGACGAACACAAGCAAAUAAAAAAAAUGAGGAAUGAAAAAGAAAAACAGUGAAAGAACUUAAUGUCUAAAGCAUUUAAAAGAAAAGAAAAUUUAAAGUUCAGAACAGUUUCGUGAAUGAAUGCAAAAACAUAAAUUCUUGAUGUAUUUGUAGAGACUCAAACACGGGACCAGAGAAUAGAUAGAUGCUUAACAAGUGAACUAGCAGGCUCAUUCUUAACAUAAAAGGAACAAAAUUAAACUUAAACAAGGAACCUAAGCUAAAGGUUCAACUAAGGAAUUUAACAAAUUCCAAAAUCCAUGUGACUCAAACAUCAUAUCUCAAGUAAGCAAAUAGAAUACACAACCACAGAAGCAAGCACAUAUUCACUGACACAGCUUAGUAAUUAAAACCCAAAUUUUAGGGUGUUACAGACUGAGCCAGACCAUGAUAAGUCUAGGGCAUUGACGGUAAGUGUCAUGCACAUAGAAAGAGGGUGCCUUUAGAGAUUUCGCCAAUAGGGUGAAUGUGUUGUAACCAAAUAAUUCCUUUAUAAUCUAGAAUUAAAAUUGUGAACCUUAUUUUAAUUUUUUGUUUCGGUUGUAAAAGUUUUAAAUAGGUAAUGCUGUCUGAUUUUAAAAUAGUGAUAUUUAGAAGUAUACAUCCACCCGGUUUGACUGUGACACUCCGUACCUAGAUUUAGUGAACGAGUAGGGUAGGAAUGUUACAAAAGUAAUAUAUAUUAAUUUAAUAAUUAAAAAUAAUAAAUAUUAAAAUAUUUCCACCAAUCAUACUUUUACACCAAGUUAGUCAUUAAUCCUUCAAUUUUCUCUACAAUACCAUUCACGAGCCAUAUUUUCUUUAGGUAAAAUUUCAUCUCUAAUCCUUCCUCCUUUUUUCUCCAAUUCAAUCUAACCAUUCCAACUCAUAAUUUUCUUACUUUUGCCCCAAGACUUUUCACUCUUUUACAAUUAAGUCGAUGCCUCACAAUAUAAAAUCCUUUUCAAUUACCUCCAGUAUUUAUCUUCUCCCUCUACUAAAACUGAUAAUUUGUAUUUUAUAACCUUAUCAAAUUCUGACAUAUUUACUCUCGAUUUAACACAGUUCUCGACUCAAGGGUAUUAGGGAUUCAAUGUGCCAUACCACUGCACCCAUCACUUAUUAGUAGGCCCCAUCCCUAGUUGAUACCAUAAUAAUAAGGGUAAACUACACCAUUAGUCACUAAACAAUGGGCAAUUAUUUUUUGAUCACUAGACUAUUUGAAAGUCUUCAUUUAAGUCACUGAACUAUUCAAAAGCUUUUAUUUAAGUCACUGGGUUGUUAAGGUUUCUUUUUAAAAAAAAAGUUUCGCCAACGAGCUCCAAGCGACAAUUUGAUGAUCAGUACGUUAGAUUAUUACCCAUCGACUAGUAGAAAAACAUACCUUAGAUCCAAGUCAAUCUAACAAUCAAUGUCAAAGAUCAGAGGAAAAAGUUGUUUGAAUUUUGGUUCAUAGAUUCAUGAUGUCCAAAACUAUUUAAUGAAAAAAAAAUUGAACUAUAGAAGAGAAGAUGAAAGAGAGCUUUUGAUUGAUGGAGAUAGUGCGAAUAGAGAAAGUCAUAUGGCACCGAUUUUAACAAUCCAAUGACUUAAAUGAAAACUUUUGAAUAAUUCAAUGACCAAAUUGUGAUUUUUUUUUGGUGAAUGGCAUGAGGAGGGCAAAGCUCUAACAGUAACGUGAUUAGUGAGAUCCGAACCUAAGCUAUACCUAAGGCGAUAAACACCCUAACUAUUAGGCUAAUACACGGGAACAUGUGUCUCUUCUUUAAAAAAGAGUGUAACUUGUAUUGAUAUUUUUAUUAUUGUUUUAUAUCAUAAUUUACUUAAACUAUUAUAUAUUUAUAUAAAAUUUAAUGUAUUAUUAAUUUAUUCUAUAAAAAAAUAUUUAUUCAUCUACUUAUAAAAUAUUCUAAAUGAUAGUUAAAUUCAUAUUUUAUGACUGGUAGUAGCUUUAUCUAGUUACAACUCAACCAACAUUUGACAUAAAAAAUCAACAAAACUAAACUUUGAUGGUAAAGACUCACGCUUUUCUUUUUUUUAGAUUAUACCAAAGUGGUGAGUGCUGAACAUUGUUUUAAAAAUUCUAGAAUAUUCAUGAAAGUCUAAAGGCAUAAAGACUUUCGAGCUUAGUAAUUUUUAACUUGGGCUUUGGGUUUUUUAUUUGUAAAAUAAGUGGCUUUUAUACUUACAUAUUGAAAAAGGAGUAGCUAAGUUUGCUGGAUGUUUCAAUCAAGUCUAAUUAAUAAAUUUGAAAGGAAAGUAACAUAAAGAGAUAGAUCAACACACAAUAUUUGUUAAGAUAAUUCGAAUAAUAAUAUUACUUUGUAUAGUUUUACUCAACGAAUAAUUUUAUUCAACAAUUUAUUCAGAUACCUAUUGAUUAAAUCCUAAUUUAUCUUUAUACAAUGAAUAAUUAUAGCCAUAAUAAUGAGCCCUGAUUGUUACAAUCAUUUACUCAAAAUCCCCACUUACAAAUGACAAUAAUUCUCUAAUAAAUGUCUAACACACAAGAGUAUAAAAAUAUAAAGAAAAGAUAAGCAAAUACUCAAGAUGCACAUCAGUCAUGUGAAACAAAGCAACCUAUUUAUAGGCAUAAAUCAAUCAGCUUCAGAGCAAAAUCACAAAUUAAAAAAAAAAACUUUAGCCCUAAGAAAUUUAAAAUAGACUUUUGCUACAAGUAAAAAUAAAUUAAAGGCUUUAAAGGAUAAGUAUAAAGUUUGUUGACCAUCAAAACACUCCUCUUACUUCACAAAUUCGACAAAGGGAAAAAAAUAAAUAUUCCAGCAUAAAUAAAAUCAUAUUAAACACGAAACAGUGAUCAUUUAUUGAUAAGUAAUCAACUAAAAUUAAAUAAGUCACAAUCCCAAGAAAACUUAAAGGUCUCCAUCUUGUUGUCACAAGUGAUUCGUACAUGACAUGUAACUACUAAAACAUACACAAUUAAAGUCUCAACAUAUAUUUUAAAUAUUUUUAUUUAAUUUAAUUGAAUAGGAAAUUAAAGUCCAAUCAAUUUGAUCUUCAAUUUAAUUUUUAAAACAUUAAUAAAUUUAAGUUUAUUGAUAUAUCAUCUUUAAUAUUAAAUAUUAUUUUUAAAUUUUUUCUUGAUUAAAAAUAAUACGGGAUCAGAUAAGGAUUAGUUUAAAUAAACACAAAGACUAUUGAUAUCUUACUUGACUCAAACUUAACCGAAUUUGAUUCAUGAUACAUAAAUUGUCAUGUCUCUUAUUUAUAGAUACCUAAUAUCAUGAUUGUAAAGAGAAGUCAUGAAACCCUGCAUAGCAGUAAAGUAUAAUUUGAUUAAAAUAUACUAUACCUUACAAGUUAAUCUUGGUUUUUGUUAUUUACAAAUACAUACAAAUAUGUAUAUAUAUAUAUAUAUGUGUGUGGUUGUGUCAUUUACAAACACGUACAAAUAUGUACAUGUGUGUAUUUUAAGGUUUUUCUCCUUUUACAAAUUUUAAAAUGAGCUGCAAAUCAAGAGGAUGGGAAAAGAGGGCCAGUGGCAGUCCUGAAAAGCCUCCCUCUUUUAAAUUGAAUGUUGUUUAGCUUUUGUUGGCACCAAUUGAGUUGAGAAGUGGAUACAAUUGACAUCUGCAAUACUCUCGAUAUCAACUGCAUCUCUAUCAUUGCAAACACCAUUGUCUCUUUCUGGGACUCUUCCAUAGGUUUCACAACUUUGUUAAACCAGCACUUUCGUUUCCCUUGUAAAUCUUUCAACCAUAGUUCCUUCUGCUUCAAACAAGAAAAUAUAAUCAUUAUUUCAUAUCAUCAUUCCACUUUUUGAACUCUUCUAAAAAUGCAGUCCUUAGUUUUCCUCCUAACCAACAUGUCACUAUACCUAUCUAUGGAUUGGGUUAUCAACCUAAGUGUGAAGGUCCAUACAGUAUUUGUCCACUUAUGAACAGUUCUAACCGCAAAGAAUUCCGUCCCUGAAUACUUCUUUACCUUUGCAAGUGUAGUGGUUAGGUCAGCCAGCAGAUGUAAAUCUCUUGGAUCCUCCAUUGGAGGAUAAGUCCAUAAUGAAGUCUUGAAUUUCCACCAACUCUUAGUCCUGUCAGUGGUUAUAAAUUUUCCAAAAGCAUUUAUACAUUUCUCUAUUGCCUUCAACACCGCUUUUGCAUCCACUGUUUCCCCUUUAUUCCCAUCUUUUUCUUCCUCCAAAUACCCUGUAAGAAUGAUCAGAUUGAGGCUAAAUUUCUUAAUUAUAUAGAAGAGACAUAAUCUUUCCAAUGAAGCUGUUAAACUUUGCAUCUCAAUCUUGUUAAAAAUAAAUAAUAAGAUCCAUAUCUCAGAUCAUGUCGUACUAAACUUAUGCAAAUAUAAAUGAUCUUAAUAUUAUAUUUAAACUGCAUUUUUCUAUGGCUGAUAAGUACCUUCGUGGACUUUCAUUUUAAUACAUUUCUCUAAGGCCAUAUCAGUAAGCACAGUCUUUCUCUUUCCAAGUUGAAAAGUCAAGUUAGAAUUUAAUACUAAUAUGUUUAAACAUCCUUAUAUAUUAAUGCAUAUUUGUGUUAUUUUUUUGUGUAAUAUUUUAGUUAUAUAUAUUUUUUGUGUUGUGUUUAUAAUCUGUUAGCUAGUAUUGUUAAUCCCAUACUGUAUAAUAAUAGAAAUGAAGAUUAACUAUUAAAAGAAAUACCUGUGAGUUUAGGAACUUGAAGAAGGGUCUUGGAAGCUAAUCUUGCUUGAACAUAAUUCCAAGCUCUCUUUCCCUUAUAAACAUACCUUUCUUCUUCCAAAAAUCUUUCUAGCAAUACUUGGAAGUUUUGGAAAUCCUUUGCCCAAUUAUCAGCAAACAAGCAGUUGGUCAAGCUCAGGAACUUGACCUUUCUGUAUUGAUGGUGCAGGGCCUCCCAUGUCAAGCAUGAUUGACCCACAUAAACCAACUCAAAAUCACUUUGUAAACUUCUCAAAAGCUUCUUUUUAUCCUGCUUGCUCCAUGAUAUGUAGGGGAUUGUCAAAUCCUUCACCUUGAUGUUCUCCAAUGAACUUGGGAUCCCCACUUCCACGUUCAAGAUUGCACCUAAAAGUAACCAAUCAAUGAGUACAAUAAGAUUGCACAUAAAAGUAACCAAUCAAAGAAAAAUACUCACUUAUUCCCUGAGUCCUGUCAUGGUUUAAAAUAUCAAACCAUCUCAUUCUUUCAUAAUAUUUCUUGUAAAAACCUUCUGAUUCAUCCUCAUCUCUUGCUGUGGUUAUUACCUCCCUCUCCAGAACUUGAGAACUAGAGCUGCAAGCUGGUAAUGAACAUUCUUGCAUCAAUGGUGUGCUCAAGGAACUAAACAACGGUGAAUAUUCAUUCAAAUAUGAUUCAUCCAUGGAUGGAGAAAUGCAGAAGGAAGAUGAACAUUCAUAUGCGCUCAAGUCCUUUUGAAGAUAAUAAAAGCUCCAGUCUUCCAUAUUCGAAGACUCUCUUCUAGGAAGAAUUUCAUGGUUAUCUUCACAGCCAUUAGCCUCUACAAAUUCAGUCUUCCAUGCAUCGGAUGGCAUGCUUGAACAAAUGCAUAAGCUGAUGAGCUGAUUUUGACUAAUAUUAUCAGCAGCUUCCAAGAUCAACACUUGUUUUGAAUCAACCUCUUUAGCUCUAAUAAAAGAGAAGAUAUAGACGACACAAUAUCUACAAAAUUUAUAAACAUAAAAAACCAAAAAGUAGAUGACUCUAAAAGGAUAACUCAACAAAGCUAAAAUGCAUCUUUUCAGCCAUUUGAGACACAGAAAAACUUGGCAAGCACAAAGAAAAAAAGGGUGGAUAUAGAAGCUCAAAUAAAACCAUUUGAGAAAAUAUCCAGGAGGGAUGACUAUAGAUUCAAUAAUAAGCCAACAAGAAGUAAGGAAAGCCAUGCUCAAGUCAGGUUUCAAGAUUCAUCACUUGAUUUGGGGUGGGGGGGAUUUUGGCAGUUAAUUUAACUUGGUGGGGGGCCAAGAUAGAUGUCCUUGACCACAUAGCAUAACUUGGUUGGCAAGCUGCUUGAGUUUAGUUUAGUUUAGUUUAGUUUUUUUUUUUAAUUUGAGUAAGUUAUUAUAGAAUCAAACUCGUCCUUAAACAACUCAAAUUAUGUAAUAAUCCGAAUUUAAUUAUCUUAAUACCAUACUUGAAAAAACGAAAAAAUCUUAAUCUCAAACGUAAACAAUUAGAAUUUACAUAUUUUUUUAAUAAAUAAAGGAAUUCAACUGAUAUUAAUUAUAUUUUAAAUUAAAUUCAAUUGAAGGCUGCAAAUCCCCCAAACAUGAAUUGGAAUCCUUUUUACUCUUUAAACUGAGUUGACAAAUAAGGAAAUAACAUGGAAAGAGCCAUAUAGGAAUUUUUUGUUCCAGAUAUUUAAAAAAUAAGAGAGUAGUUUCAUGGGUCAGCAAUUCUCACUUUCUUUGUCAUUUCAAGAGAGAGAAGCUUGGAUUAUAAUAUACUUUUUCUAUAUCUUGACUAACUUUUUAGUUAAUUGCAUGAAAAUAUGCCUUAUUCCUACAUGAACCCCAUCAAUUUUUUCCUUCAAAAUUUCACAAAAGAUUUCAGACUUUAAUCCAUUGAAUAUAAAUAUUGAUAAAAAAUUUUAAUCUUAUAAACGAGAUUGAAAUUUUAUUAUGUAUCUUUCAAUUUUAUUUAAAACUUUAAAAUUAAUAAAUAAAACAUAUAGUAAACUCUUCUUUACCAAAUAAUUACUUUAUUUUUACUUUCUUAAGAUCACUUGCUUUUCCACAAAGAUGAAAAGGACGUGUGGAACUUAAAUGAAAAUGGGCCCCAAGACCAAGAGUAUUGGAAAUUUAAUACAAGUGAAGCAUCUUGACUUUUUCAAUCAUCAUCUCUAACCUCACCCAUUACCCAUUGGAUAACCGUUAACAUGUCAAUGGGGUUUCCACCAAAUCUAGUUAACUACUAGUUUUUUUUUCAAAAUUUAUGUUUAUUUUAGAUUAUAUUUUAAUUACUUAUAUUUUAAAUGUUAUAUUUUACUCAUUUUCAUUAACAUGUUGUAACAUUUGUCAUUAUGCCGUUAAUUGUCAUUAACAAUGUAAUUAUAAGUUGACGUGACACGUUAAAUCAUCAUUUAAGCAAAAAUUUUAGAUUGAAUUAUACAAUUGUUUCCCAUAAUUUUUUUCGUUUUGAGCAAUUUAAAUUUUUUUUUCUUUUAUGUUAUUUUAACUUUUUUUCUUCAUUUUUCAUUUUUUUUACUUCUCCCUCUAUUUUCCUCCCUUCCCCAUCUCUUUUAAUGUAGUUUUUCUAUAUUUUACAUUUGUUAAAACUUUAUUAUGUUUAUGAAAAAAGAAAAAGUGAAAACUAAAACCAAAAUAAAACUUGUUUCACAUAUUCUCACCCUAUAAUUACAAAACCUCAUCAUUUAUUAUCACUUUAACGAACCACUUCUAAUCUUUCAAUGACCUAGUCCACAAGCUCGCCUCACUCGAAGAACUUGCUAGUCGUGGCUGAUGGCAGUCCACCAUCAACAAAGUUUCCUGAACCCAUUCCCUUAACCUCUUAACCAACCCCCACUACCACCUUAUUUUCUAACCUACAACAUUCUCACCUUCUCGAAGCUACGUUGUUUCAUGGACUUUUCAAACAAACUCUACACUUUUAAUGACUAAAAUGACCACCAUACAAAACUUACCCUUUAACCAAACUAGUUUGGUUCCAUGCUCCCUUUCUCUCUUCGGCUCAUCCAUGCUCGACUUUCAAUCAAGCUUGCUUGGGAAUAUCCAAGAAGAUUUAGAUCAAUUUUAUCGUUUGCUUAAUUUUAUUCGACAGAAAAUAAAAGAAAAGAAAAGGAAUAAUCUACAUGAUUUUAUAAAAGUUUGGAAACGGAAAAACUUUGUUUUGAAUAUAAAGAAUUCAAUUUAUGUUUAGAUUUGAAUAAGGAUAUGAAUUUUUUAUAUUAAUUAGUUAGAUCCAAUUUUAGUUUCAAAAUUAGGUUAUAUUCAAAUCGAGAUUUGAUUAAAAACUAUUGAUAUUUGAUUUUGAGUGAAAAUUUAAUUUAGGAAUCAUGUGAAAAAAAUAAGGACUUGGUUUAUUUGAUAAGCAAAGAUUAUGUUUUUGUAGUGAAAACUAUGAGAAAGGGAAAAAUAAAAAGAAAUAAAGAGAUAAAAAGAAAAUAAAUUGUUUAAAAAAAUAAAAGUAUAGGGACUAGUUUUAACAAAUAGAAAACAUAGAAAAACUACGUUAAAAUAAAUGGAGAAGGGAGGAAAAUAGAAGGAGAAAGAGAAGAGAUGGAAAAUAAAGAAAAAAAAAGGGAAAGUUUAAAGAAUAUAAAAAAAAAAUUAAAUUGCUCAAAAUGAAAAAAAAAGGAUCAAUUGUAUAAUUAACCGAAAAUUUUUAUUUGAAAUAACCUUACCGUUAAUGACGAUUAACGCUCAGUAAAUAAAAUGUUACAACACGAUAACGCAAGUGGCUAAAACGUAACAUUUCAAACAUAAGUGACUAAAAUGUAACCUGAAACAAACAAAAGUGAUUAUUUUGAUAAUUUAUCCCAAAUUUAAUUUUUUUUUUGAGAAAAGUCUGGUAUGCUUUCAUUAAGUAAAUAGAAAUCCACAUACAAUGAAAAACAAAUCAAAUAAAAGAGAAAAAGGCCGAGGCCAAAAAGCAUAAAACAAAACUCCUAAACAAUAAUCAAAAUACCUAACAAACCCUAAAAAUCAACAGCCAGUCUUCAUUCAUUUGACGAAUCCAUUUCUUUUUUCACAUUUUCUGCAUUUCAUUUCUAGAGAGAUUCGUUUAACAAACCAAGAAAACAAUGACUCAGAUAUCCCUUCAGAGAGAGAAUUUAUUCCCAAAAUAGUUACUCUGGUGUGUGAGCAAAUUAAGUCAGAUACCGUUAUUGUCAAAACAUUUCUUUUCCCCAAUCUUCAAAUGACUCAAUAUAGGCAUUCCCAUUUUACCAUUUUCUUGUCAUAUCAUCGAUGGUUCCUUAUCCCCAACUGGAACUCGUCGAUUAUGUUUUCCUUCCAUGGCUUUAUAUUCCUCGACAGCCUGGGUAACAGAUCUAGGGAGGCCAUUUCUCAGAUAAGUAUCUUCUUUCAUAUUGAUUCCUUCCUCUGCUAAUAGAUGUGCCACUUUGUUCAUUUGUCUCAUUGCAUGUCUAAAUCUACAUGAGAUAAAGUAAUUUUUUAAUCAUUUAGCAUCAAUAAUGUAAGCCCUAAUUUCUAAUCUAUCUUCUUCUUCGCUUUUAAUCUUCUUAAUGACGGACAUAACAUUGCCUUUAAUGUCACUUCUUAAGAAGCCUAAUUCAGCCCAGAACUGGAUCGCUUGGACACAACCGAGAACCUCUACCGCAAACUUUGAAGGAAUGUGUCUGUUAAAAUGGACUUUUAUUUUUAAGACUUGCCCACUUAAGUUUCUAAUCACAAUUCCAGUGCAUGAUUUCUUUUGUUGUUUCUCAUAUGCAGCGUCAAAGUUGAUUUUAACAUAAUUCUCCUCAAGAGGUCUCCAGUUUUCCGUCAUCAGUUUGUUAACAGGUAACUGCUUACAUAUUCCAUCCAACUCUCACAAGUAGAUAAGAAUGAAUUGAGUCAAUUUAUCACUUUUUUGCAUCUGUUUUUUAUGAACCCAUUUAUUUCUGGCUGUCCACACAGCCCAUAUAGCACACAUAAUAGUUCUAAUUUUAUGGGCUCACUCAUUUUCGAGAAGAACCUGGAUCCAAUCCUUAAACUGGAAUUGAUCUUGCUCCAGGGUCCACCCAAUCCCUAAUUUGGCCCAAAUAUCGUGUACCAGAGGGCAGUCUCUAAACACAUGUUCUACCGUUUCUUCACUUUACGAGUAUCUUGGACAGAUUACGAAGCUUACCAGCUUUCGUCGAAAAAGAUUAGUUUGAGUAGGAAGGAAAUUAUUUAGAGUUUUUCAUACUAAUAUUUUAAUCUUCAAUGGCAUAUCCACAAGCCAAAAUUUCUUGUACAUAGAUUUGUAUUGGCUUUGCAAGGUCUGUAAAUUAAUGUCCCAAUCAUUUUGUAACUGCUGCGUACUAUGUAAGUCCCCGAAGCUUUUGCUCUCCACACCAUGCUAUUUGUUUCUUUUUCAAUUGAGAGAGGAACACACAAAAUCUUCUCAGCCUCAUCAUGGUGAAAGGUAUUUCUAAUUAACUCCUCUUUUCAUUUAUUUUCAUAUUGUUCAAUUAACUCAGAAAGGUAUACUAAAUUUGGGUUAAUGAUAGUUGGAUCUUGUAAUUUGUGGCACCUGGGACCCACGCUCCAUUCCAAAUUGAAAUUUCCUCUCUAAACCCAACUCUUUAACACAUCCCUUUCUCAAUAAGGUCUUUUACUGCCCAUAGACUUCUCCAGGUAAAAAAAGGUAAAUUCCCCAAUCUUGCUUGCAAAAAAAUCGUGUGGAUAGUAUUUUGCUUUUAACAAUCUUGUUAAUAACGAAUCAGGAUAACAAAUUAAUUGCCAGCCCUGUAAGCGCCAUAUUAAAUUUAGACAUAACUCGAAAGCCCAUUCCCCCGUCUUCUUUUAAAUCCCCAAGUUUCCUCUAAUCGCACCAAUGGAUUCCUCGUUUAUUAUGCUAUUUUUGCCACCAAAAUUGACCCAUAAGAUUUUCUAUUCCGAACAAGAAGGUUUUGGUAGUAAAAAGCAUGCCAUAGCAUAGGUAAGGAUUGUCAGUAGCACUGCUUUAAUAAAAACUUCCUUCUCUCCUAUAGAUAAGAAACAAGCACUCCACCCUCUAAUCUUACUAAUCAUUCUAUCUUUCAAGAUUUGGAACAUCGUUUUUUUUAUUUCUUCCCACAAUAUUUGGCAGACCCAAAUAUUUUUCUAGAUCUCUUGAUGUUCGCACACCCAAUAAAGUCGCUAUUUGUUCCAUUCAUUGUUCAAAUACAUUUGAGCUAAAAUAGGCUAAUUAUUUUUCAAAAUUAAUACAUUAACCUAAACAUAUUUCGUAUUCUCUUAAUAUGGUUUUGAGAUUUUGUGCUUCUCUUUCCGUAGCAUCUCCAAAUAAGAUGCAGUCAUCUGCAAAUAAUAAGUUUGUAAUACUUGGCCCCCUUUAGCAAACUUUUACUCCUUUUAUGGUUCCUUCACAAUAUGCUAAUCGCAUUAAAGUUGAAAAUCCUUCACCGCAUAUUAAAAAUAUAUAUGGGCUUAAAGGGUCUUUUUGUCACAAUCCUCGCAUUGGUUUGAAAGAUUCCCCUAUCUCAUUAUUCAUGCACACUGCAUAAGUAACUGUCUUAACACAUUUCAUGAUUAAAGACACCCAUGCAUCAGCAAAACCCAUUUUCUGCAUGACUCUCUCAAUGAACUCACAUUCCACUCUAUCAUAUGCUUUGCUCAUGUUAAAUUUUAGAGCAAGAUUUCCAUUCUGGCCCGAUCUUCUUUGUUUAAGAGAGUGCAUUAAUUCAUAUGUGAAUAGAAUAUUGUCUGUGAUAAGUCUCCCUAGCACGAAUGCACUUUGGGUUUUAUCAAUACAUUAAACUUUUUUGGAAUCAAUUUGCCAUUGUCUUAGAAAUAAUCUUGUAAAUUACUGUGCAAAGACUGAUAGGUCGAAAACUCUUUAGGUUGACAGGAUUUACCACUUUAGGGAUGGGUACAAUAGAUGUCAUAUUAAUCUCCACAACCGAACCGUCCCUGUUCAGAAUAUUUAGGAAAAAAUUGUUGACCUUCUUUCCCACAAUAUGCCAAAACUUCUAAAAGAAACCAUCUCUCCCAGAAGCUUUGGUCGGUCUUAUGUUUUUAAGAGCAUAAACAAUUUCUUCCAAAGUAAAGUUUUUCGUUAACAAGUGGUUCAUAGUUUCUGAGAUGCAACUUUCAAUCCCAGAUAGAAUAUAUUCGGGAUUUCUUAUUCCUCUAGAUGAAAAUAACUCUUGAAAAUAUUCCCUCGCCACGUCGGCCAUCUCCUUUUUGUCCAUAACAAGUUGCCCUCGUGCAUUUUUCAACUCCUCAAUUCUAUUAGCUCUUCUUCUUUGGGAGGCAAAGGUAUGAAAAAAUUUUGUAUCCUUGUUACCUUUUUUUAGCCAAUUCAUUCUUGCUCACAAUUCCUAAUACCUUUCAUCUUUAUCAAUUUCAAGAUUUAGAUGAAUUUUUACAUCAAUAAGCUCCUCUAAAUUUUCUUUCAUUCUUUCCAAUUCAUCCAAUUUUGCAAUAUGAGUAAGUAGCUUCGUUGAUAGCCCUUUAUAUGAUUUCUUUAUUACCAUGCCCAUCUUUGUAAACCUUUCUCAACAUACUCUAAUUUUUCCAUCACUCCUCCUCUGCUUAUUUCCCAUAAUUGCUUCACUUCCUCUUCACAUGAUUAUUCCAUGACCUACCAAACUUCAAAUCUGUUGGAGCAUUUUCAAAAGUUAUAUUAUUUAAUUUUUUGAAAUUUUUUUUAACUAUUUAAAUAAUAUUAUUUGAAUAGUUAUAAUAUUAAAUGAAUAAUUAUGUGUUUAUUUUAAAAAUAUUAUUAUUCAAAAAGACACAUAUGGAAAGAUGUCUCUAUGAAGAAACAUGAAAAGUUCCUAUAAAUAGGAAUGAGAUUUCAUUAGGAAAUCACACCAACAAAUUAUAAUAUUCUUUCUUUCAUUCCUUCAUUUUCUAAUAUUAUUAGAUUAUUCUAUAAAGUAUUACUGCAGAAAUCCUUUGUAGAAAUUGAGUUUCUUGUUAUACAUUGCUCAGUGCAUAGUGGACUAUUCUCGUUAGUGCAAAACACAAAUAGUCAUUGGUUUCAUUGUACCCUCGAGGUUAAUUUGCUUGGAACUCAUUUGUACACCGAAGAUAGGUGGGGGCGAAUAUAACCUAAAAGAUAGUGGCUUGAUACACGCCUUGGAGCCUUGUCCUAUUUCUUCUUUUUUCUGUUCGAGUUAUGUUCGUGUGUUCGAGAUUUUCCUUAUCGGAAAUUUGUACUAAAAGUUUUAAGGUUAUAUUUCAUGAUGACUAUCACAACAAAUGAAAGUGGAACACUAAAGGAGUUGGCUUCCAACUUUGUCAAACUUGAUCGGUUUGGUGGUGACAAUUUUCGACGAUGGCAGAAAAAGAUGCACUUCUUAUUAUCAAAUUUAAAGAUUGCUUAUGUUUUGGAUACUCCAAGACUUGAAGAAAAUGAAAAUGAAUCUGUUGUUGCAACCCAAGAAAGGCAAAAUGGGACUAUAAUAAUUACAUAUGCAAGGGCCACAUAUUUAAUGGUUUAUCUGAUAAAUUGUUUGACACUACCAAAACGAAGUCACCGUUAAAGAAUUAUGGGACAAAUUGGAGAUAAGAUACAUGAUCGAAGAUGUUACAAGUAAAAAAUUUCUUGUCAGUCAUUUCAAUAAUUAUCAAAUGGUUGAUGAUCGUUCUGUUAUGGAACAAUUUCGUGAUAUUGAAAAGAUGCUGAGUCAAUUCAAGCAAUAUGAUAUGAAAAUAGAUGAAAUGAUUGUUGUAUCCUCCAUAAUAGACAAACUUCCUCUAUCUUGGAAAGACUUUAAAAGAAGUCUAAAACAUAAGAAAGAAGAAAUAUCUCUUUAGGCUUUGGCAAAUCAUCUUCGUAUUGUAGAAGAAUAUCAAAAGCAAGGUCGGAUCCUAAAUUCUGAAAAUGCUGAAGUGCAUUUUACGAAGGAAGUACAGACUACUAAACCAUUCAAGAGAAAGUUCAAACAAACUAAUAGAGCACCUAAGUUCAAAAAGAAACAAAAGGGCUCAUGUUAUCAUUGUGGUAAACCCGGAUAUUUCAAGAAUGAAUGUUUAUUUUUAAAGAAGAAAUCAUCUUCUAAGAUUGACAAUAAUGAAAAGUUUGUUGCAAUAAUAUCUAAAAUUAAUAUGGCACAAGAUGAUAAUACAUGGUGUAUUGAUACCAGAGCAACCAAACAUGUGUGCAAAGACAAAAGCAUGUUCAAAAAUUGCACACAAUGUGAAAAUAACAAUGUCUUGUACAUGAGAAAUUCUUCCACCACAGCAAUUAAAGGCAAAGGGUCUGUUGAACUACAAUUCACUUCUGGAAAGUUUUUAACCUUAAAUGAUGUAUAUUAUGUACCAGAAGUUAGGAAGAAUUUAGUGUCUGGAAAUCUAUUGAAUAAGUUUGGUUUCAAACUUGUUUUUGAGGCAGAUAAGUUUAUUUUGUCGAAGGGAGGAAUUUUUGUAGGGAAAAGGUAUAUGUAUGAGAGUAUUUUCAAACUCAAUAUUUUUAAUAAGAAUAAAAAUACUAUUUUUUUUACUUAUAUGGUUGAAUAUUUUUGUUUAUGGUAUUAUAGAUUAGGUCAUUUGAAUUAUGGAAAAUUGAAUGACAUGUAAUGACCUGAAAUUUACGGGUAUCGAAAAUCGUAUUUUUGGCUUACUAUUUUAGAAAAUCAGGUUUGUAAAUAUUUAUUAGAAAAAUUUACGAAGCUAUUUGACUGAUUAAUUAGAUUUUAGUUAAGUGAAUUAGCUUGAAUUAAGGUUAAUUUAGUAUAAGGACUAGAUUGAAUAUAAUAUAAAAGUUUAAUUAUAGACUAAAGAAAAUUGAAGGGACUAAAUUAGCAAAUAGCCCAUAAAAGGGAAUAGUGCCAAAUGUAAGGAAAAUAUUAUUCCAUGUGUAUGUAUAAUAUACAUAUAUUUAUACUUAAUACUUAAGUAUAUAAUAUAAUAAUAUAAUAAUAUAAUAAUAUAAUAUAAUAAAACAUAAAAGAAAUAAAGAAACAAAAGAAAGAGAACAGAGAAGGUGGAAGGAAAUAGGAAAGAAAAAAAAAGGAGAAAAGAAAAAGGGAAAAUUAGGGUUUUAAAGCUUGAAGCUUAAUUUGGUGAGUCAAUUUAGUCCCUUUUCUUGCAAUUUUGAUGUUUUUGGAGUCCUAGAGACAAAUAUUACUUGAUGUAAGUGGAAAAUUUGAAAGUUAGAUGACUUUUAGACAUGGGUUAUGUUGAACAAAUUGUUGAAUUAGGGAUUUAAUUGAAUAAAUUUCAAGUUAAUGUUAAUGUGAAUGUGAAUGUGAAUGUGAAUGUAAAAUUUUUGGAGUCCUAGGUUAUCUUUUGGAAAUCAUUUUGAAUAUGAAUGUUAAUAGUGUAAGAAUGAUAAUGGUUAACCCAUGAAUGCAAAGUUUAUGUUUACAAUAUGGCCAUUUAUAUAGUCUAAUUGAAGUGAUUUAAUCAGUACCAAAGUACACUGUCUGGAAGUUUUAGGUUAAAUACUUACUAAUACACUCAAGUUGGAUCAUAACAUUUUGAUGAUUAUAAUGUGAAAGGGAUGUAUUAAAUCAUGUUUUGGAUUGGUUGAAAGCUUGGUUUUAAAUUUUGCUUGUUACUGAAGUUUGCAGGGUUGGUAAACUUAGACUAUAAGGUUCAUUUUUGAGUUCACACGGCCAGGCACACUGGCGUGUGAUCAGACCGUGUGAGACACACGGCUUGCACACGGGCAUGUUGUUAGGUUGUGUGUCCCCUACACCUAAAUUUUGUAAAACAGAAUGCUCAGGUUUUACCACACGGGCAGAGACACGGGCGUGUGUCUCAGCCAUGUAGGGUAUACGGCCAUAGUACAUGGGCAUGUGCCUGGCCGUGUGAAAACUGUACUAGAUUCAAAUUGAAAAUAAUUUUACACGGGCUAAGCACACGAGCGUAUGUCUUGGCCGUGUGAAACUAGUUUGUUCAUGAGCAACAAACAGAGAAGUACACAGGUAAAGGACACAGGCAUGUCCUAGCCGUGUGAGUUACACGUGGUGGCAACACAGGUGUGUCAUAGAGACACACGGGCGUGUCUCUAAACCACACAAGCGUGUGCUACUGUUCAUUAAAAGAAAUCUAGGAAAAUCUUACGAAAAAGUUUAUAAGCUUCUGAUUGGGUUCUGGUUUGUUCUUAACAUAUUCCAUGAGCCUAGAAUGUAUCAAAAAGGGGUUAAUAAGAUAUAUUACUAAAUUAUACAAUGUUUAAUUUUAUUUGAUUCGUGUUAUAAAUUGUAGUGACCGGUAGUAUUCCGUAAUCUCAUUCUGAUGUCGGUAAAGGGUUAGGGGGUGUUUCAUUUAGUGGUAUCAGAGCUAUUCAAGUUUAGUCGAUUCUAGGACUAAAACGAGUAUAGAAAUGAGUCUAGAGGUACAUGCCAUUAUUGAAUUAAAUUUGAGUCGGGAAUUGGAUGCUGAAUUAUUUAUUGAUUAAUUGUUUCUGUUUUAUAGUGUUAAAGAUGUCUGAUGAAAGAAUUGAAGAAACUGAUCAAGAAAUGUAUAGUGAAGAUGAUGAACCGUAUGAUAUGAAUGAUUCAGAGUCUGCAACACCUAGUGUAAAUCCGAUAGGUAAUCAACCGCCAAAUGUCGAAAUGAGUGAUACUAGAGAAAGAGAUAAUACAAAAAUACUCAGAGUGAUAGUUGAUACUCUUCAAAGAGCAGUGGGAACCAUACCUGCAAUGACUACUACUCUUACUACUCGACGAGCCCCGAUUAAAGAAUUGCGUAAAUAUAAGCUACUGAAUUUUUAGGUUCGAAAGGAGAUGAUCCGUCAAAAGCAGAAAACUGGUUGGAAACUACAAAAAGAAUAUUGAAGCAACUUGAAUAUACCCCACAGGAAAGCCUAACAUGUGUCGUUUCUUUACUGCAAGAAGAAGCGUAUGUAUGGUGGGAGGCGAUAAUUCAAAGUGUAUCAGAAGAACAAAUAAGUUGGGAGUUCUUUCAAAGAGACUUUCAGAAAAAGUAUUUGGGAGAAAUGUACAUGAAAGAUAGAAAACAAGAUUUUUUAACACUAAAACAAGGCGAAAUGUCUGUAGUGGAUUAUAAACAGGAAUUUUUGAGAUUAAGCCUAUAUGCAACUGAAUUCGUACCUACUAAAGUUGAUAGAUGCAAACGAUUUUUGAGAGGGUUGCGUGAUGAAUAUCGAUUGCAGUUAAUGCCUUUACGAAUUACUGAAUUUGCAAAUUUAAUAGAAAGAGCUAAGAUGAUUGAACAGGUAUUGGGGAAAAAUAAGAAGUUUGAAGUUGCUCGUUUGGCUAAAAAACGUCCUAGAACUGCUAGUUCAAGUCCACAAACAAAACGGUCAAAGGAAUCUCGAGGUAAUUGGAGAUUCAGCUCUAGAUCGGAAAGAGGUGAUAGAAGUCUAAGUAAACAAACAACUAUAUCCACUGGUAGUAUUAAAAGUCCAAAUCAGAAUACGAAAAUUCUAAAGUGUGAACACUGCGGGAACAGGCGUAAAGAUGAGUGUAGAAAGUUAACUGGAGGUUGUUUUUGAUGUGGAUCCAUUGAUCAUUUUGUAAAAGAUUUUCCGAAGAUUAGUAAAGCAGCACCAAUGGUAUCAUAAAGAUCUGAAUCUGUUUCAAGAGGCCGAAGGUUAGGCCGAAGUGGUUCAAUUGCUAGAAGAGGUACUAGAAAAGCUAGUGAAAGUACUACAUAGCAAUUAGAAGUAAGAGUACCGGCCCGAGUGUAACACCCCUAACCCGUAUCCGUCGCCGAACUAGGGUUAAAGGCAUUACAGGACAAAUUGAAACAUUUAACAUUCAUUUCGCAAUCAUCAAAGCAUCAAACAUUAAACAUCAAUAUAGAGUCCCUUAUAGAGGUCAUCGAGACCUUAAACAUACAUCAGAAAAGGGCCGGGACUAAACCGAGCUCAUACAAAAAUUUUCCAAAACUUAAACAUUUUUUCAAACAAGUACAUGUCACACGCCCGUGUGAACAGGCCGUGUACCUUACACGGAAUUAGACACGCCCGUGUGUCUAGGCAUUGCCAAAAUAGGGCAGAAAUACUGACUUACUCACACGGCCACAAUACACACCCGUGUGCCUUGGCCGUGGUCGAAACUGACUUGGGCCACACGACUAGCCACAUGCCCAUAUGCCUUGGCCGUGCCCGAGCUUGACUUACAAUUGUAGGGUACCCUAGGGGACACAUGACCGUGUCACAUAGCCGUGUGUCGUAUACGGCUGAGACACACGCCCGUGUCUCUACCCGUGUGGACAAAAAUAGGCUAUUUGAAUAACCAAUUUGCCACCCCAAUUUGGGUCAACCUACAAACACCUAACCAAGCAUAUUUAUAUAAUAAUUUCAACCAAUUUCUAAACCAAACCAUACCAUAUUCAUGCCAUAACAUUAUCAACCAUUUUCAAAUCUCAAGUCAUCAAUCAAUUCAUAACAAAACUUAAACUAAAAUCAUACCUAAACAUAUGAUCAAUACAUCAUUCAAUCAAAUGCUCAAAACUUACCAAAACUUCUCAACAUUGACCAUUUCUUUAGGCCAAUCAAAACAUACCACAAUUUCACAUUAGCAACACAUAUCAUAUACCAUUAUAAAACUAUAAGUUCUAACACAAACUAGGCAUAUCACAUGGCUAAAUAUGUACAAUACAAAACAUAAUUCCACAACUUCUAUCCUAUAUAUGCCAUACUUUAAUAUAUACACUUUCAAAGUACCAAAAUAAGGUUUGAUAGUGUGGCGACGAUCAUCGACGAUCCCCAAGCUCACAGUAGCUUCGAUAUCUAUAAAACAAUGAAAACACACACAAAGUAAGAUUUUAAAAGCUUAGUAAGCCAUAUACAAAUAAACAUAUCAUUCAAAGCAAAUAAAUAUCAUCAAAUCAUUUAUACCUUGUAUACCAAUGUUUACACAAAUCUCAUAUUCAAAUACUUACCUUUCAUUCUCAAAUAAGCUAUACAAAGUAAACAUACCUGAAUCUGAUAUGAUUUAACAAAGUUAUUCAUUCUCUCAGAAUGCCCAUUUGAACCAUUCGGAACUAUAAGGGUACGCGGAUAGCUCAAAGAAAUAUACAAUGCGAAUGUCCCAAACGUGGUCUUACAUGUAAUCAAACAUUGAUACCACUGUCCCAGACAAGGUCUUACACAAAAUCAAAUAAGAUGCUGAUGUCCCAGACAUGGUCUUACACGUAAAACAGAAGUCGAUGCCAAUGUCCCAGACGUGGUUUUACAGGAAAUCAGAUAACAGAAUCCUAUGUUAUGACAUAUGUAUCCUAACUAUUCCUAAGGUUCGUACGGGGCUUUUCAGAUGUCGAAACUUUGUCGAUACUUUCUCGAAUAGCAUAUAUUUAGCUCAGACAUUCAUUCAUCACAAUUCAAUAUCAAUUAAAUAAUAACUCAAUUUAAACAAGCUUAUUUGUAUACUGACUUACCUCGUAAAGAUUCAGAUGAAUGAAAUCGGUUACUCAACAACUUUCAACUUUCCCCAAUCUAACUCCAUUUUCUUUAAUUCUUGAUCUAUAUAAAUUCAAAUUUAGCUUAUUCAAUCACAAAUUCAUUCAAAAUAAUUCAUAGAUACAUAUUUAGGGCAAUUUGCAAACUAGCCCUCACAUACUUUAGUCCCUAAUUCACAAAAUCACAAAAUAUACAUAAUUUACAUAUACUCAUGCUUGGUCGAAUAUUCAUAGUAUUCAUAUAAGCCCAUAUGCUUCAUUUAUUUCACAUUUUAGUCCCUCAAAAUCUCAUUUCUACAAUUUAGUCCAAAUUACACAAAUUUAUCAAAAAUUCAAAGACAAAACUUAGUAAUCUAACACAUAUCUUCCAUUUACUAUCAUUAAAAUUCAUAAAACUCAUAGUUUCAACAAUAGUAUAACUCAAAAUCAUCCAUAAAAUCAGAAAUUAGGACAUGGACUUAGUAAAACACAAAGCAACGAUCACAAAAACGUAGAAAUUAUCAAAAACCGAACAAAAUCCAUACCUUAAUCACCAAAUCAAUGUGUUGAACCCUAAAACUCUUUUUUCUUUCUCUUUUCUUUAGUAUUUUUCGGCCAAGAUGAGUAAAAUGAAGCAAAAUUCAUAUUUUGUUUUAUUUAAUUCUUAUUAAUACAUCAUUUACCAUAUUAACCUUUAUAAAUAAACAUAUAAUUCAUAUUUACUAAGGCCAUUAAUGUCCACUGAUAUGUUCAAUGGUCUUAUUUCAUCAUAAGGACAUUUCCUUUAAUAAGAAAAAUUAAAUAGGGACUUGAAUAAUUAGCUGGAAACUUUUACAUUUUACGCAAUUAGGUCCUUUUUGAAAAUGAAGCACACAAACAUUCAAAUUUUCAUACGAAACUUCUACACAUGCUCAUUCACAUACCAUAAACAAGGAAAAUAAUAUUUAAAUAUUUUUUAACUCAGAUAUGUAGUCCUAAAACUACUAUUCUAACUAGGGUAAAAACUGGAUUGUUACAAUUCUUUCCCUUAGGGAUUUUCGUCCCCAAAAAUCUUACCGUUAAACAGAUUCAGAUAAUGCCGUCUCAUAAUAUCUUCAGGAUCCCACGUGGCAUCUUCAAUACCGUGUCGAUGCCACAUCACUUAUACUAAUGAAAUUUUCUUAUUUCGCAGCUCUUUAACUUCGCGAGCUAAGAUACGGAUCAACUUUUCUUCGUAAGUCAUAUCAUACUGAAUUUCAAUCUUAGACAGAGGAAUCAUAUGCGAAGGAUCGGAUCUGUAAUGUCGAAGUAUCAAUACAUGAAACACAUCAUGAAUCUUUUCUAAAUCUAGUGGCAACAACAAUCUAUAUGCUACUAGCCCAAUACGUUCGGUAAUCUCAUACGGCCUAAUGAACCUCGGACUCAAUUUGCCUUUUCUACUGAAAUGAAGUAAUUUCUUCCACAGAGACACAUUCAAAAACACUCUGUCACCAAUCUCAAACUCAAUAUCUUUUCUUUUCAGAUCUGCAUAAGAGUUCUGAUGAUCGGAAGCUGCUUUCAAACUAUCUCGGAUCACUUUUACUUUCUGUUCGGUUUCUUUUAUCCAAUGAAUUCCGUGAAUCUUAUUUUCACUGAGCUUAGUCCAAUACAAAGGUGUAUGGCAUAUGUGACCAUAUAAAGCUUCAUAUGGUGCGAUUUUAAUGCUCAACUAAAAAAUAUUAUGAUAAGCAAAUUCAAUUAAAGGCAAAUAUUGUUCCCACGUACCUUCAAACUCGAGAAUGUAACAUCUCAACAUAUCCUCAAGUAUCUGAAUGAUUCGCUCAGACUGACCAUUUGUUUACGGAUGAAAAGCAGUGUUAAAAUGUAAUUUAGUAUCUAGCGCAUCUUGCAGUUUCUUCCAAAAUCUCGAUGUAAACCUCGGAUCUCUAUCCAAAACAAUAGAAAUAAGCAUACCGUACAAUCUCACAAUUUGAGAAACAUAUAGCUCAGCAAGCUUGUCAACCGAAUAAUUUGUACUAACUGGAACUAUAUGAGCCGAUUUAGUCAAUCUAUCCAUAAUAAACCAGAUUGUAUUUUUCUUACUCGGUGUAACGGUAUACCAGAUACAGAAUCCAUUGUGACUCUGUCCCACUUCCACUCAGGUAUCAUAAUCGGUUGAAGCAACCUAAAAGGUACCUGAUGUUUGGCUUUUAUUUGCUAACAGACUAAACAUUUCGAAACAAAGUCAGAAAUGUCUCGUUUCAUACCUUGCCACCAAAAAAGUUGUUUCAAAUCAUUAUACAUUUUCGUACUACCCGGAUGAACAGAUAACUGACUGCUGUGAGCUUCAUUCAAAAUCAUUUGAAUUAACUCUGGAUUUCUCGAAACACAAAUUCUAUCUCGGAAUCUCAGAUAGUCAUCUUUAUCAACUCUGAAUUCUGAAUCAGACUUUACAUUACACUGAGCUCCUUUAGCUAAAACCUCAUUAUCACUCUUUUGAGCUUCGAUAAUCUGCUGUAAAAACAAAGGUCUUGCUUUCAAUUCAACUAAAACUGAAACAUCAUCGGACAAAACCAAAUGAGCAUUCAUCGCACGCAAAGCAAACAACAACUUUCGACUCAAGGAAUCAGCAACAACAUUUGCUUUUCCCGGAUGAUAAUCUAUCACAAGUUCAUAGUCUUUAAGCAAUUUAAGCCACCUUCUCUGUCGUAGAUUCAAAUCUUUCUAAGUCAUCAGAUACUUCAAACUCUUAUGAUCAAAGUAUAUGUGACAUCUCUCACCGAACAGAUAAUGACACCAAAUCUUUAGAGUAAACACAAUCACAGCUACCUAGAGAUCGUGUGUCGGAUAGUUUUUUUCAUGCGGCUUUAACUGUCUUGAAGCAUAAGCAAUGACUUUGUCUUCUUGCAUCAAAACACAUCCUAGUCUUAUCAACGAAGCAUCACUGUAGAUAACAAAUUUUUACCCGAUUCGGGUUGUACCAAUACUAGAGCUUCAGUUAACAAAUUUUCAACUGAUCAAAACUGUUUUGACACUUUUCAGACCAUUCAAACUUCAUAUUUUUCUGAAGUAGCUUCGUUAAUGGAGUUGCAAUCAUAGAAAAGCCUUUUACGAACCUUCUGUAAUAACUAGGAAGUCUCAAAAAACUACAAACUUCAGAGACAUUCCUCGGAGGUCUGCAAUCCAAAAUAGCCAAAAUCUUGCUCGGAUCAACUCGAAUUCCAGAUGCUGAUACAACAUGACCCAGAAAACCAACUUCUCGCAACCAGAAUUCACAUUUAUUAAACUUUUCAUAUAAUUGUUUAUAUCGUAGAAUCUGUAGCACUAAUCUCAGAUGCUCGGCAUGUUCGAAUUCAUCACGUGAAUAAAUCAAUAUGUCAUCAAUGAAUACAACAACAAAUUGAUCUAAAUACGGUCUAAAAAUUCUAUUCAUCAAAUCCAUAAAGAUAGCAUGUGCGUUAGUUAAUUUGAAGCGUAUAACUAAGAAUUCAUAGUGGUUAUACUUCGUUCUAAAAGUAGUUUUCUGAAUGUCUGAAUCUUUCACUCGCAAAUGAUAAUAGUAUGAUCUCAAAUCUAUUUUCGAAAACACAGCAGCUCCUUUUAACUGAUCAAACAAAUCAUCAAUUCGGGCCAAGGGAUACUUAUUUUUGAUAGUCACUUUGUUCAACUGACGAUAAUCGAUGCACAUUCUCAUCGUACCAUCUUUCUUUUUCACGAACAGAACCAGAACACCCAAAGUGAGAAACUCGAUCUAGCAACCCUGUAUCGGUUAAUUCUUGCAACUGAGACUUUAAUUUUUUUAGUUCGGUUGGAGCCAUUCUAUACGGAGCUAUUGAAAUCAGAGUAGGACCAGGUACCAAUUCAAUGCCAAUUUCAACUUCUCUAACCGGAGGUAAGCCUGGAAGUUCUUCAGGAAACACAUCAGGGAACUCACAGACAACAGACACAAAUUCAAAUUUCUUUUCUGACAUUCUCGAAUGAAUUACAUAAGCAAAAUAUGCUUCACAAUCACAGACAACAGGUACAAAUUCAAAUUUUUUUUCUGACAUUCUCGAAUCAAUUACAGAAGCAAAAUAGGCUUCACAAUCUUUUCUCACAAUAUUCAAAGAUUUCAUCGAAGAUAUUACAGCAGGUAAUCCAUUCAAAUCACUAGAUUCAAUUCUGACUAUUUCAUCACUCUUGCAUAUCAAAUAAAUAGUUUUCUAUUUGUAGUUCACAACAGCAUCAUGGGAAGUUAACCAAUCCAUACCCAGAAUUAUAUCAAAUUCAUCGAAAGGUAACAACAUCAGAUUAGCCGAAAAAUAAAUGUCUCGAAACAUUAACGGAAAAUUCUUGCAGACUUUAUUAACCAAAACACAUUUGCCUAUGAGGUUCGAAACUCUAAUUACAAAUUUAGUAGACUUUACAGGCAAAGUCUUACUAUUCAUUAAGUUCAAGCAUAUAUAUGAAUGUGUUGAUCCAGGAUCUAUCAAAGCAAUCACAGAAGUAUCAUAAAGAGUAAAUGUACCCGUAAUCACAUUUGGCGACGAAGCUUCCUCACAAGCUCGAAUAGCAUAGGCUCAGGCAGGUGCACGAGCCUCAGAUCUAACAGUUGUAUCUUUUGUCCCUCUCUGACUGCCACUUGUAUUUCCCGUAUUUCUGGGAGGUUUACCACGAUAAGCAUUGCCACUCAAUCUCGAAUUUUAUACACUUUCUUGCUCAACAGAUUCAGGGCAAUCAUGGAUAAAAUGGUCUAAUGAUCCACAUCUGAAACAAGCCCGAUCAUACAGUAUACAAUUAUCGAUAUGUCUUUUACCAUAAUGCUUGCAUUCAAGGCGAUCAGACUUAGCAUUUCCAACACUAGCAAAAGAUGUAACUGGAGCUUUGAAGCUCGAAUGUGAUCUUAUACGAUCUCUAUUCGAAUGUCCCACAUUAGCCUUUGAAUGGCUACUAUCAUCUCGAAAUUUCUUUGAUUCAGAUUGAAAUGACUCUCAUGAUGAUCUCUUUCGCACUUCUCUAACUUCAUAAUCAGCUUUUCUUUUCUCUUUCCCCAGAUCUUCAGCUUUACAUGCUCCUUCAACAAGCACAAAAAAUUCUUUAAUUUCAAGAAUCCCAACUAGCAAACGGAUAUCCUCGUUCAAACCAUUUUCAAAUCUUUUAUACAUUAUUGCUUCCGUAGAUACACAUUCACGAGCAUACUGACUCAGUCUUACAAAUUUUCGCUCGUAUUCUGUAACAGACAUAUAGUCUUGUUUAAGCUUGGGAAACUCAUUACGUUUUUGGUCGAUAAAUCUCUGACUGAUGUACUUCUUUCAAAAUUCAGCUUAGAAGAAAUCCCAGGUAACUCGCUCACCCGAAACCACGGAUAUUAAAGUUUUCUACCAAUGGUACUCCGUAUCUCUCAAAAGUGAAACGGUAUAUUUUAUGCAUUAUUCAGGAUUCAAAGAUAAUUCAUCAAAUACUCUUAUCAUGUUCUCUAACCAGAACUCGGCCUUUUCAGCAUCAUCAUUUGUUGUAGCUCAAAACUCUUCGUCCCUAUACUUACUAAUCUUAUCUACCGGAAGCUUACUUAUCUAAACUGAAUUCACUGAUGGCAUAACAAGAGUUUGUGGUGAAUUAACCGGGGUGGAGGUUGUUGAACAGCUAGAUUGGUUCUAAUAUAUUGGCUAAACCAAUCGUUCAUCAUCUGAUAGAAGACUUGUCUAGCCUCACCAUCACGGCUACUCGUAGCCGGUCUAGAAUCAGAUGGCGCCGUCCCUUGUGCGGGAGCAGGCGCAUUACCCGUGUGCCUUGGCCAUGCCCGAGCCUGACUUACAAUUGUAGGGUACCCCAAGGGACACAUAACUGUGUCACAUAGUCGUGUAUUGCACACGACUGAGGCACACGCUCGUGUCUCUACCCGUGUGGAGAAAAAUAGGCCAUUUGAAUAGCCAAUUUGUCACCCCAAUUUGGGUCAACCUAUAAACACCUAACCAAGCAUAUUUAUAUAAUAAUUUCAACCAAUUUCUAAACCAAACCAUACCACAUUCAUGCCAUAACAUUAUCAACCAUUUUCAAAUCUCAAAUCAUCAAUCAAUUCAUAACAAAACUUAAACUAAAAUUAUACCUAAACAUAUGAUCAAUACAUCAUUCAAUUAAAUACUCAAAACUUACCAAAACUUCUCAACAUUGACCAUUUCUUUAAGCCAAUCAAAACAUACUACAAUUUCACAUUAGCAACACAUAUUAUAUACCAUUAUAAAACUAUAAGUUCUAACACAAACUAGCCAUAUCACAUGGCUAAAUAUGUACAAUACAGAACAUAAUUCCACAACUUCUAACCUAUACAUGCCAUACUUUAAUAUAUAUAUUUUCAAAGUACCAAAAUAAGGUUUGAUAGUGUGGUGACGAUCCUCGACGAUCCCCGAGCUCACAGUAGCUUCGGUAUCUAUAAAACAAUACAAACACACACAAAUUAAGCUUUCAAAAUCUUAGUAAGCCAUAUACAAAUAAACAUAUCAUUCAAAGCAAAUAAAUAUCAUCAAAUCAUUUAUACCUUGUAUACCAAUGUUUACACAAAUCUCAUAUUCAAAUACUUACCUUUCAUUCUCAAAUAAGCUAUACAAAGUAAACAUACCUGAAUCCGAUAUGAUUUUACAAAGUUAUUCAUUCUCUCGGAAUGCCUGUUUGAACCGUUCGAAACUAUAAGGAUACGCGGAUAGCUCAGAGAACAUAUACAAUGCCAACAUCCCAAACGUGGACUUACAUUUAAUUAGACAUCGAUGCCACUAUCCCAGACAGAGUCUUACACGAAAUCAAAUACGAUGCUGAUGUCCUAGACAUGGUCUUACACAUAAAACAGAAGUCGAUGCCAAUGUCCCAGACGUGGUCUUACACGAAAUCAAAUAACAGAAUCCUAUGUCAUGACAUAUGUAUCCUAACUAUUCCUAAGGUUCGUACAAGGCUUUUCAGAUGUCGAAACUUUGUCGAUACUUUCUUGAGUAGCAUAUAUUUAGCUCAGAAAUUCGUUCAUCACAAUUCAAUAUCAAUUAAAUAAUAACUCAAUUUAAACAAGCUUAUUUUACCUCGUAAGUAUUUAGAUGAAUGAAAUUGGUUACUCGACAACCUUUGACUUUCCCCGAUCUAACUCCGUUUUCUUUAAUUCUUGAUCUAUAUAAACCCAAAUUUAACUUAUUCAAUCACAAAUUCAUUCAAAAUAAUUCAUAGAUACAUAUUUAAGCCAAUUUUCAAACUAGCCCUCACACUUUCACAUUUAACACUUUAGUCCCUAAUUCACAAAAUCACAAAAUACACAUAAUUUGCAUAUACUCAUGCUUGGUCGAAUAUUCAUAGUAUUCAUAUAAGCCCAUAUGCUUUAUUUAUUUCAUAUUUUAGUCCCUUAAAAUCUCAUUUUUACAAUUUAGUCCAAAUUACUCAAAUUCAUCAAAAAUUCAAAGGCAAAACUUAGUAAUCUAACACAUAUCUUCCAUUUACUAUCAUCAAACUUCAUAAAACUCAUAGUUUCAACAAUAGCGUAACUCAAAAUCAUCCACAAAAUCAGAAAUUAGGACAUGGGCUUAGUAAAACACAAAGCAACGAUCACAAAAGCGUAGAAAUUAUCAAAAAAUCCAUACCUAAAUCACCAAAUAUUUUUCUAACUCGGAUAUGUGGUCCCAAAACCACUAUUCUGACUUAGGUCAAACUGGACUGUUACAUUGAGUGUAUGUUGUAAGAACUCGUGAAGAGAGAGAUGCUCAUAAUGUGGUGAAAAGUAUAUUCCUAUUACAUUCAGAACCCGUUUAUGUUUUAAUAGAUCCAGGAUUGUCACAUUCUUAUGUUAAUACAAAACUAGUUGAGAUGGAAAAUUUAAAACCUAAAUUGUCUAGAGUAACGAUAGAGGUGUCUAGUCUACUAGGGAAAACUAUGUUAGUGAAUUAGAUAUGUCGAAGAUGUCCAUUAAUGAUUCAAGAUAAAAUCUUUUAUUUUUAUUUGUUAAUUAUGCCAUUCGGCGACUUUGAUAUUAUACUGGGAAUAGACUGGCUGUCAGAAUAUGGAGUAAUUUUGGACUGUUAUAAAAAGAAGUUUACUGUUCAGAAUGAGAAUGAUGGUUAGAUUGAAGUAAAUGGUAUUUGGACCAGUGGAUCAGUUUGUGUUAUUUCAGCAAUUAAAGUUAAUAAGCUUCUUUAUCAACGAUGUAUUGUUUUCUUAGCAUAUGUAAUUAUUUCUAAUUCAGUUGAGAGUCAGUGCAGUAAAAUUUGAACUGUAUGUGAAUUUCCAGAUGUAUUCCCUGAAGAGUUACUUGGAUUACCUCCUGAUCGAAAAGUUGAAUUUGUGAUUGAAGUAUACCCAGAUACGGAUCCAGUGUCAAUACCUCUAUAUCGUUUGUCACCAACUAAGUUAAAAGAGUUGAAGAUACAACUGCAAAAUUUAUUGGAUCGAGGUUUUAUACGACCAAGUACAUCAUUGUGGGGAGCUCCAGUGUUAUUUGUUAAGAAGAAAGACGGUUAGAUGCGGUUAUGUAUUGAUUAUCGACAGUUGAACAAGGUGACCGUCAAGAAUCAAUACCUAUUACCUCGCAUUGAUGAUUUAUUUGAUCAAUUAAAAGGAGCCUCUGUGUUUUCGAAAAUUGAUUUAAGAUAGAGUUAUUAUUAGUUGAAGGUGAAGGAAAGUGAUGUACUAAAGACAGCGUUUCAAACUCGGUAUAGACAUUAUGAAUUUUCGGUGAUGCCAUUUAGGUUAACAAAUGCUCCGGUUGCUUUUAUAGAUCUUAUGAACCAAAUUUUUCAGCCGUACUUAGACCAAUUUGUAGUAGUCUUUAUUGAUGACAUUUUGGUAUAUUUUAAGUUUGAAUCUGAACAUGACCAGCAUCUUCGAAUUAUUUUACAAAUGUUACGGGAGAAACAAUUGUAUGGGAAAUUGAGUAAAUGCGAAUUUUGGCUAUCAGAGGUAGUAUUUCUUGGUCACGUGGUCUUAACAGAUGGAAUUAGAGUGGAUCCAAAGAAAAUUGAAGCAAUUAUACAGUGGAAAACUCCUAAAAAUGUGUCAGAAGUACGUAGUUUCCUUGGAUCAGCUGAAUACUAUCGAAGGUUCAUGAACAGAUUUUCAAAAAUAGCUUUACCGAUGACGAAAUUAUUAAAAAAGAAUGUUCCAUUUGUUUGUAAUGAACAAUGUCAGAAAUGUUUUGAAACAUUGAAGCAGAUGUUAACAGAAGUACCAGUUUUGACUUACGAUAGUCGGGAAAAGAUCUCAUUGUGUAUAGUGAUGCUUCUUUAAAUGGUCUCGGAUGUGUAUUGAUGCAAAGUGGGAAAGUGAUAGCUUAUGCUUCACGACAAUUGAAACCGCAGGAACGUAAUUAUCUGACUCAUGAUUUAGAGCUAGCAGCUAUGGUUUUUGCUCUGAAGAUUUGGAGACAUUUUUGUAAGGUGAGAAACGCUACAUCUAUACUGAUCAUAAAAGUCUCAAGUAUCUUCUGUCACAGAAAGAGUUGAAUUUAAGACAGCAUCGAUGGAUAGAACAUUUAAAAGAUUAUGAUUGUGUUAUUGACUACCAUCCAGGUACAACUAACGUGGUAGCUGAUGCAUUGAGUAGAAAAGCUACAAUCGAAUUGUGAGCGAUGUUUGCACAACUUAGUAUUAAUGAUGAUGGAGGCUUAUUGGCUGAAUUAAGAAUUAAACCAGUGAUGUUCGAACAAAUCAAGCCAGCUCAGUUGGAAGAUGACAAGCUUAUGAAAAGGAAAUAAAUGGUUCAGAGAUUUUCGGCAUUGAUGAACAUGAUUGUCUGAGAUUUCGUAAUCGAAUUUGUGUUCCGAAUGCUUCAGAAUUGAAAGAGUUAAUACUCCAAGAAGCACAUGACAGUCCAUUCACAUUACAUCCUGGAGAAACAAAAAUGUACCGUGAUUAACGGGAAUUGUAUUAGUGGCCAUGUAUGAAGAGGGAUAUAGUGGAAUUCGUGGCUAAAUGUGUGACAUGUCAACGAGUCAAAGCUGAUUAUCAGGUGCCAACUAGAUUACUUCAGCCUAUUAAUAUUCCUGAGUGGAAAUGGGACUGUAUCACAAUGGAUUUUGUAACUGGAUUACCGUUGUAGUAAGUAAGAAAAAUACUAUUUGGGUUAUUGUUGACAGGUUUACAAAGUCAGCCCAUUUUAUAGCAGUCAAAAUGGAUUGGUCACUUCAGAAACUUACAGAAACUUAUAUCCAAAAAAUUGUGAGACUACAUGGAAUUCCUGUAUCGAUAAUAUCUGAUCAAGAUCCACGGUUUACAUCGAGGUUUUGGAAAUAGUUGCAUGAGUCUCUUGGUACUCGACUGCAUUUUAGUAUAGCUUUUCAUCCACAAACUGAUGGACAGUCAGAACGAGUCAUUCAGAUUUUUGAAGACAUGCUUUGAGCUUGUAUAAUUGAUUUUGAAUCAGGUUGGGAAUGUUACUUACCGUUAGCCGAAUUUGUGUAUAAUAAUAUUUUCCAAUCAGGUAUUCAAAUGACACAAUAUGAAGCUCUAUAUGGUAGGAGAUGUCGAUCACCAUCCAUUCGCAUUUCAUCCUGAAGAAACAAAAAUGUACCGUGAUUUACGGGAAUUAUAUUGGUGGCCAGGUAUGAAGAGGGAUAUAGUGGAAUUCGUGGCUAAAUGUUUGACAUGACAAUGAGUCAAAGCUGAGCAUCAGGUGCCAACUGGAUUACUUCAGCCUAUUAAUAUUCUUGAGUAGAAAUGGGACUGUAUCACAAUGAAUUUUGUAACUGGAUUACCAUUGUCAGUAAGUAAGAAAAAUACUAUUUAGGUUAUUGUUGACCGCCUUAGAAAGUCAACCCAUUUUAUAGUAGUUAGAAUGGAUUGGCUACUUCAGAAACUUGCAGAAACUUACAUCCAGGAAAUUGUAAGACUACAUGAAAUUCUUGUAUCGAUAAUCUCUGAUCGAGAUCCACAAUUUACAUCGAGGUUUUGGAAACAGUUGCUUGAGUCUCUUGGUACUCGACUUCAUUUUAGUAUAGCUUUUCAUCCACAGACCGAUAAACAGUCAGAACGAGUCAUUAGAUUUUAGAAGACAUGCUUCGAUCUUAUAUCAUUGAUUUUGAAUCAGGUUGGGAACGUUACUUACCAUUAGCCGAAUUUGUAUAUAAUAAUAGUUUCCAAUCAAGUAUUCAAAUUGCACCAUAUGAAGCUCUAUAUGGUAGGAGAUGUCGAUCACCAGUGUAUUGGACAAAGUUAAAUGAGAAGAAAAUGAUUGGACCAGAAUUAAUUCAAUAAACAGAAGGUAUUGUUAAGAAGAUUCGAGAAAGACUGAA